UAGGCCUUAGUUUAAUAAAAACGUUUGGGUUGCAUUCUGAGGAUGCAGAGUAAAGAUCUGCAGGUCUUA
RNAcentral lists this transfer RNA (69 nucleotides) under Phrynocephalus clarkorum. RNAcentral's name for it is "tRNA-Ala". The record is from RNAcentral. Lineage: Eukaryota; Metazoa; Chordata; Lepidosauria; Squamata; Agamidae.